CUACGGGGGGCUCCAGUGAGGAAUAUUGCACAAUGGGGGGAACCCUGAUGCAGCAACGCCGCGUGGAGGAUGACGCAUUUCGGUGUGUAAACUCCUUUUAUAUGUCAAGAAAAUGACGGUAGCAUAUGAAUAAGCACCGGCUAACUCCGUGCCAGCAGCCGCGGUAAUACGGAGGGUGCAAGCGUUACUCGGAAUCACUGGGCGUAAAGGACGCGUAGGCGGGUUGGAAAGUCAGGUGUGAAAUCCUACAGCUUAACUGUAGAACUGCACUUGAAACUUCUAAUCUAGAGUAUGGGAGGGGGAGAUGGAAUUAGUGGUGUAGGGGUAAAAUCCGUAGAUAUCACUAGGAAUACCUAAAGCGAAGGCGAUCUCCUGGAACAUUACUGACGCUAAGGCGUGAAAGCGUGGGGAGCAAACAGGAUUAGAUACCCUCGUAGUC
RNAcentral lists this ribosomal RNA (439 nucleotides) under uncultured bacterium. RNAcentral's name for it is "partial 16S ribosomal RNA". It matches the Rfam family "Bacterial small subunit ribosomal RNA", at positions 339 to 795 of the family's 1533-position model. The record is from RNAcentral.